Marmota monax (woodchuck) is the source of this 247-nucleotide long non-coding RNA. RefSeq lists it as uncharacterized. The record is from RefSeq and is a predicted model, not a curated record. The transcript has 2 exons. Lineage: Eukaryota; Metazoa; Chordata; Mammalia; Rodentia; Sciuridae.
GGCUUUGCAGCACAAUGAGUUUUUGGGAAGAAACUUCUGUCCAACACUCAAUAUAACAAACGGCAAUCACUGUCCUGGCUAUGUAAUAUGUUCUGGUGAAGAAUUCUUGUUAAUGCAGGACAUGGAUCUCUCACCUUGGGGCUUGUGGAGGAAUCAUCUGGCUUUGGAUAUUCUGAUAUUUAUCUUUCUCAUAAUUGCCUACCUAAGAAUGUUAUACCUUAAAAGAAAUUCUUAAAUUUCACUUUCA